This 679-nucleotide long non-coding RNA is filed under the name Populus tremula. RNAcentral describes it as "long non-coding RNA (PTRE_LNC000876)". The record is from RNAcentral. Lineage: Eukaryota; Viridiplantae; Streptophyta; Magnoliopsida; Malpighiales; Salicaceae.
UCAAAACAAGAAGAAUCCAGAGGGUGAAAACUCAAAAGGGUCUGGUGAAGGAAAAGGACCAGAGCUAAAACAUGAUCUCCAAAAGGAACCAGGCAGUUCAAACAAGAAGAAACCAGCGGGUGAAAACUCAAAAGGGUCUGGUGAAGGAAAAGGACCAGAGCUCAAACAUGAUCUCCAGAAGGAACCAGGCAGUUCAAACAAGAAGAAACCAGCGGGUGAAAACUCAAAAGGGUCUUGUGAAGGAAAAGGACCACAUCUAGAACAUGAUCCCCAAAAGAAACCAGAGGGUGAAAACAAGAAGAAACAAGACGGCAAAAACUCAAAAGGGUUUUGUGCAGGAAAAGAACAAGAGCCAAGUCUAAACAAGAAGAAUCCAGAGGGUGAAAACUCAAAAGGAUCUGGUGAAGGAAAAGGACCAGAGCUAAAACAUGAUCCCCAGAAGAAACCACGCAGUCGAAACAGGAAGAAACCACGUAGUGGAAACAGGAAGAAACCAGAGGGUGAAGACUCAAAAGGGUCUGGUGAAGGAAAAGGACCAGAACUAAAAAAUGAUCUCCAGAAGGAACUAGGCAGUUCAAACAAGAAGAAACCAAGGGGUGAAAACUCAAAAGGGUCUUGUGAAGGAGAAGGACCACAGCUAGAACAUGAUCCCGAUAAGAAACCAGAGGGUGAAAACAAG